Molecule: ribosomal RNA, 570 nt
Filed under: uncultured bacterium
Lineage: Bacteria
Description: partial 16S ribosomal RNA
Rfam family: Bacterial small subunit ribosomal RNA
Source: RNAcentral
UGGGGAAUUUUGGACAAUGGGCGAAAGCCUGAUCCAGCAAUGCCGCGUGUGUGAAGGAGGCCUUCGGGUUGUAAAGCACUUUUGUCCGGAAAGAAAUCCUUGGCUCUAAUACAGUCGGGGGAUGACGGUACCGGAAGAAUAAGCACCGGCUAACUACGUGCCAGCAGCCGCGGUAAUACGUAGGGUGCAAGCGUUAAUCGGAAUUACUGGGCGUAAAGCGUGCGCAGGCGGUUUGCUAAGACCGAUGUGAAAUCCCCGGGCUCAACCUGGGAACUGCAUUGGUGACUGGCAGGCUAGAGUAUGGCAGAGGGGGGUAGAAUUCCACGUGUAGCAGUGAAAUGCGUAGAGAUGUGGAGGAAUACCGAUGGCGAAGGCAGCCCCCUGGGCCAAUACUGACGCUCAUGCACGAAAGCGUGGGGAGCAAACAGGAUUAGAUACCCUGGUAGUCCACGCCCUAAACGAUGUCAACUAGUUGUUGGGGAUUCAUUUCCUUAGUAACGUAGCUAACGCGUGAAGUUGACCGCCUGGGGAGUACGGUCGCAAGAUUAAAACUCAAAGGAAUUGACGGGG